Molecule: non-coding RNA, 45 nt
Organism: Schistosoma haematobium
Lineage: Eukaryota; Metazoa; Platyhelminthes; Trematoda; Strigeidida; Schistosomatidae
Source: Rfam
ACCCAGCUGACGAGUCCCAAACAGGACUAAAUACGCGUCCUGGAU